Molecule: non-coding RNA, 443 nt
Organism: Elaeis guineensis (African oil palm)
Lineage: Eukaryota; Viridiplantae; Streptophyta; Magnoliopsida; Arecales; Arecaceae
Source: RefSeq, a predicted model, not a curated record
AUAUAUAUAGUCCACCUCUUCACUCCUUGCUAGCAUUAAUCUCUGGUUUUGCGAAUGCUAUGGUAGGGAGGAGGGUUAAAGCUACAAUGACAUUCAUACUUUGGUUGCUUUGGAAAGCCAGGAAUGUUCGCAUUUUCGAAGGUCAUCCAAUCUUAUCUGACAUUUUACAGUGGAAGCUGGUUCCUUGGAUUUUUACUGCAUCUCACAUUUAUCGAGAUCAAAUAGAAUACUGAUUGGAUUGCUUGUAGUGAUUUGUCCACACCCCUCGACUUCAACUCCUCUGCAUCUUUGCCCCUACCGCUCUAGCAGAUUUUACAUGUAGAUGCUCAAGAACGAGGUCUAUCAGGAGAAAACACAGUCCCUACACUCCAGCUAGAAUGGGCCGCUUCGACCUUAACUUUUAUUUUAUUAGUGUUCAGACUACUUGCUCUUCUUAUGUAUCA